GGGUUGUGAGGUUAAGCGACUAAGCGUACACGGUGGAUGCCCUGGCAGUCAGAGGCGAUGAAGGACGUGCUAAUCUGCGAUAAGCGUCGGUAAGGUGAUAUGAACCGUUAUAACCGGCGAUUUCCGAAUGGGGAAACCCAGUGUGUUUCGACACACUAUCAUUAACUGAAUCCAUAGGUUAAUGAGGCGAACCGGGGGAACUGAAACAUCUAAGUACCCCGAGGAAAAGAAAUCAACCGAGAUUCCCCCAGUAGCGGCGAGCGAACGGGGAGCAGCCCAGAGCCUGAAUCAGUGUGUGUGUUAGUGGAAGCGUCUGGAAAGGCGCGCGAUACAGGGUGACAGCCCCGUACACAAAAAUGCACAUGCUGUGAGCUCGAUGAGUAGGGCGGGACACGUGGUAUCCUGUCUGAAUAUGGGGGGACCAUCCUCCAAGGCUAAAUACUCCUGACUGACCGAUAGUGAACCAGUACCGUGAGGGAAAGGCGAAAAGAACCCCGGCGAGGGGAGUGAAAAAGAACCUGAAACCGUGUACGUACAAGCAGUGGGAGCACGCUUCGGCGUGUGACUGCGUACCUUUUGUAUAAUGGGUCAGCGACUUAUAUUCUGUAGCAAGGUUAACCGAAUAGGGGAGCCGAAGGGAAACCGAGUCUUAACUGGGCGUUAAGUUGCAGGGUAUAGACCCGAAACCCGGUGAUCUAGCCAUGGGCAGGUUGAAGGUUGGGUAACACUAACUGGAGGACCGAACCGACUAAUGUUGAAAAAUUAGCGGAUGACUUGUGGCUGGGGGUGAAAGGCCAAUCAAACCGGGAGAUAGCUGGUUCUCCCCGAAAGCUAUUUAGGUAGCGCCUCGUGAAUUCAUCUCCGGGGGUAGAGCACUGUUUCGGCAAGGGGGUCAUCCCGACUUACCAACCCGAUGCAAACUGCGAAUACCGGAGAAUGUUAUCACGGGAGACACACGGCGGGUGCUAACGUCCGUCGUGAAGAGGGAAACAACCCAGACCGCCAGCUAAGGUCCCAAAGUCAUGGUUAAGUGGGAAACGAUGUGGGAAGGCCCAGACAGCCAGGAUGUUGGCUUAGAAGCAGCCAUCAUUUAAAGAAAGCGUAAUAGCUCACUGGUCGAGUCGGCCUGCGCGGAAGAUGUAACGGGGCUAAACCAUGCACCGAAGCUGCGGCAGCGACGCUGAUGCGUUGUUGGGUAGGGGAGCGUUCUGUAAGCCUGCGAAGGUGUGCUGUGAGGCAUGCUGGAGGUAUCAGAAGUGCGAAUGCUGACAUAAGUAACGAUAAAGCGGGUGAAAAGCCCGCUCGCCGGAAGACCAAGGGUUCCUGUCCAACGUUAAUCGGGGCAGGGUGAGUCGACCCCUAAGGCGAGGCCGAAAGGCGUAGUCGAUGGGAAACAGGUUAAUAUUCCUGUACUUGGUGUUACUGCGAAGGGGGGACGGAGAAGGCUAUGUUGGCCGGGCGACGGUUGUCCCGGUUUAAGCGUGUAGGCUGGUUUUCCAGGCAAAUCCGGAAAAUCAAGGCUGAGGCGUGAUGACGAGGCACUACGGUGCUGAAGCAACAAAUGCCCUGCUUCCAGGAAAAGCCUCUAAGCAUCAGGUAACAUCAAAUCGUACCCCAAACCGACACAGGUGGUCAGGUAGAGAAUACCAAGGCGCUUGAGAGAACUCGGGUGAAGGAACUAGGCAAAAUGGUGCCGUAACUUCGGGAGAAGGCACGCUGAUAUGUAGGUGAGGUCCCUCGCGGAUGGAGCUGAAAUCAGUCGAAGAUACCAGCUGGCUGCAACUGUUUAUUAAAAACACAGCACUGUGCAAACACGAAAGUGGACGUAUACGGUGUGACGCCUGCCCGGUGCCGGAAGGUUAAUUGAUGGGGUCAGCGCAAGCGAAGCUCUUGAUCGAAGCCCCGGUAAACGGCGGCCGUAACUAUAACGGUCCUAAGGUAGCGAAAUUCCUUGUCGGGUAAGUUCCGACCUGCACGAAUGGCGUAAUGAUGGCCAGGCUGUCUCCACCCGAGACUCAGUGAAAUUGAACUCGCUGUGAAGAUGCAGUGUACCCGCGGCAAGACGGAAAGACCCCGUGAACCUUUACUAUAGCUUGACACUGAACAUUGAGCCUUGAUGUGUAGGAUAGGUGGGAGGCUUAGAAGUGUGGACGCCAGUCUGCAUGGAGCCGACCUUGAAAUACCACCCUUUAAUGUUUGAUGUUCUAACGUUGACCCGUAAUCCGGGUUGCGGACAGUGUCUGGUGGGUAGUUUGACUGGGGCGGUCUCCUCCUAAAGAGUAACGGAGGAGCACGAAGGUUGGCUAAUCCUGGUCGGACAUCAGGAGGUUAGUGCAAUGGCAUAAGCCAGCUUGACUGCGAGCGUGACGGCGCGAGCAGGUGCGAAAGCAGGUCAUAGUGAUCCGGUGGUUCUGAAUGGAAGGGCCAUCGCUCAACGGAUAAAAGGUACUCCGGGGAUAACAGGCUGAUACCGCCCAAGAGUUCAUAUCGACGGCGGUGUUUGGCACCUCGAUGUCGGCUCAUCACAUCCUGGGGCUGAAGUAGGUCCCAAGGGUAUGGCUGUUCGCCAUUUAAAGUGGUACGCGAGCUGGGUUUAGAACGUCGUGAGACAGUUCGGUCCCUAUCUGCCGUGGGCGCUGGAGAACUGAGGGGGGCUGCUCCUAGUACGAGAGGACCGGAGUGGACGCAUCACUGGUGUUCGGGUUGUCAUGCCAAUGGCACUGCCCGGUAGCUAAAUGCGGAAGAGAUAAGUGCUGAAAGCAUCUAAGCACGAAACUUGCCCCGAGAUGAGUUCUCCCUGACUCCUUGAGAGUCCUGAAGGAACGUUGAAGACGACGACGUUGAUAGGCCGGGUGUGUAAGCGCAGCGAUGCGUUGAGCUAACCGGUACUAAUGAACCGUGAGGCUUAACCUUACAACGCCGAAG
RNAcentral lists this ribosomal RNA (2925 nucleotides) under Escherichia coli. Its description in RNAcentral is "23S ribosomal RNA". It matches the Rfam family "Bacterial large subunit ribosomal RNA". The record is from RNAcentral. Lineage: Bacteria; Pseudomonadati; Pseudomonadota; Gammaproteobacteria; Enterobacterales; Enterobacteriaceae.